Non-coding RNA from Acanthosepion pharaonis, 99 nucleotides. NCBI's taxonomy places the organism in Eukaryota, Metazoa, Mollusca, Cephalopoda, Sepiida, Sepiidae. The record is from the annotation of a GenBank genome assembly.
GUCGAAACACUGGUUCCCGUAAUAUCAGCGAACUGAAGCAACGUCGAGCCUAGUCAGUACCUACAUGGGUGACCGCUUGAGAAUGCCAGGUGUUGUAAU